UGGGGGAUAUUGCACAAUGGGCGAAAGCCUGAUGCAGCGACGCCGCGUGGGGGAUGAAGGCCUUCGGGUUGUAAACUUGUUUUGCUCUGAACAAGGCAUGCGAAUGGGUGUGUUGAGUGUAGGGGUUGAUUAGCGCCGGCUAACUACGUGCCAGCAGCCGCGGUAAUACGUAGGGCGCGAGCGUUGUCCGGAAUUAUUGGGCGUAAAGGGCUUGUAGGUGGCUGGUUGCGUCUGUCGUGAAAGCUCAUGGCUUAACUGUGGGUUUGCGGUGGGUACGGGCUGGCUUGAGUGCAGUAGGGGAGGCUGGAAUUCCUGGUGUAGCGGUGGAAUGCGCAGAUAUCAGGAGGAAUACCGGUGGCGAAGGCGGGUCUCUGGGCUGUUGCUGACGCUGAGGAGCGAAAGCAUGGAGAGCGAACAGG
This 419-nucleotide ribosomal RNA is filed under the name bacterium. RNAcentral's name for it is "partial 16S ribosomal RNA". It matches the Rfam family "Bacterial small subunit ribosomal RNA", at positions 355 to 776 of the family's 1533-position model. The record is from RNAcentral.